CACUAUGCUUAGCCCUAAACUUUGAUAAUUUCAUAACAAAAUUAUUCGCCAGAGAACUACAAGCCAAAGCUUAAAACUCAAAGGACUUGGCGGUGCUUUAUACCCACCUAGAGGAGCCUGUUCCGUAAUCGAUAAACCCCGAUAAACCUUACCACUCUUUGCCAACUCAGCCUAUAUACCGCCAUCUUCAGCGAACCCUAAAAAGGAGAAAAAGUAAGCUCAAUUACUACCGUAAAAACGUUAGGUCAAGGUGUAGCCCAUAGAGUGGAGAGCAAUGGGCUACAUUUUCUACUUCAGAAUAUACGAAAGCCCUUAUGAAACUCUAAGGGCCAAAGGAGGAUUUAGUAGUAAUUUAAGAAUAGAGUGCUUAAUUGAACAAGGCCAUGAAGCACGC
This 394-nucleotide ribosomal RNA is filed under the name Oryctolagus cuniculus (rabbit). RNAcentral's name for it is "partial small subunit ribosomal RNA". It matches the Rfam family "Bacterial small subunit ribosomal RNA", at positions 788 to 1384 of the family's 1533-position model. The record is from RNAcentral. Lineage: Eukaryota; Metazoa; Chordata; Mammalia; Lagomorpha; Leporidae.